Molecule: ribosomal RNA, 647 nt
Filed under: uncultured Basidiomycota
Lineage: Eukaryota; Fungi; Basidiomycota
Description: LSU rRNA
Rfam family: Eukaryotic large subunit ribosomal RNA
Source: RNAcentral
CUCAAAUCAGGUAGGACUACCCGCUGAACUUAAGCAUAUCAAUAAGCGGAGGAAAAGAAACUAACAAGGAUUCCCCUAGUAACUGCGAGUGAAGAGGGAAGAGCUCAAAUUUAAAAUCUGACGGGUCCUUUGACUGUCCGAGUUGUAAGUUAGAGAAGCGUUUAUCCGCGCCAGCCUGUGCAAAAGUCUCUUGGAAAAGGGCAUCAUAGAGGGUGACAAUCCCGUCUUUGGCACAGAUCACUGGGGCUUUUGUGAUGCGCUCUCGAUGAGUCGAGUUGUUUGGGAAUGCAGCUCUAAAUGGGUGGUAAAUUCCAUCUAAAGCUAAAUAUUGGCGAGAGACCGAUAGCGCACAAGUACCGUGAGGGAAAGAUGAAAAGAACAUUGAAAAGAGAGUCAAACAGUACGUGAAAUUGUUGAAAGGGAAACGCUUGAAGUCAGUCGCGUCCUCUGGAAAUCAACUUGACCUUUUGGUUGAGUGCACUUUCCAUUUGGAUGGGUCAGCAUCAAUUUUGACUGUCAGAUAAAGACCGUAUGGGAAAGUGACAUUCUUUAUUGGAUGUGUUAUAGCCCUGGGUUCAGAUAUGAUAGUUGGGAUUGAGGAACUCGAAGACUGUCCUUUGAUGGUCUUUCUAGGAUGCUGGCAUAAA